UACGGAGGGUGCUAGCGUUGUUCGGAAUUACUGGGCGUAAAGGGCGCGUAGGCGGCCGUUUGCGUCGGAUGUGAAAGCCCGGGGCUCAACCUCGGAACGGCAUUCGAUACGGGACGGCUGGAGACCGGGAGAGGAGAGUGGAAUAGCCAGUGUAGCGGUGAAAUGCGUAGAUAUCUGGAAGAACACCGGUGGCGAAGGCGGUCAACUGGCCCUCGACUGACGCUGAGGCACGAAAGCGUGGGGAUCAAACAGG
RNAcentral lists this ribosomal RNA (253 nucleotides) under uncultured bacterium. Its description in RNAcentral is "partial 16S ribosomal RNA". It matches the Rfam family "Bacterial small subunit ribosomal RNA", at positions 524 to 776 of the family's 1533-position model. The record is from RNAcentral.